This 253-nucleotide ribosomal RNA is filed under the name uncultured bacterium. RNAcentral's name for it is "partial 16S ribosomal RNA". It matches the Rfam family "Bacterial small subunit ribosomal RNA", at positions 524 to 776 of the family's 1533-position model. The record is from RNAcentral.
UACGUAGGGUGCAAGCGUUGUCCGGAAUUAUUGGGCGUAAAGGGCUCGUAGGCGGUUUGUCGCGUCGGGAGUGAAAACUCAGGGCUCAACCCUGAGCGUGCUUCCGAUACGGGCAGACUAGAGGUAUGCAGGGGAGAACGGAAUUCCUGGUGUAGCGGUGGAAUGCGCAGAUAUCAGGAGGAACACCGGUGGCGAAGGCGGUUCUGUGGGCAUUACCUGACGCUGAGGAGCGAAAGUGUGGGGAGCGAACAGG